Molecule: non-coding RNA, 282 nt
Organism: Schizosaccharomyces pombe (fission yeast)
Lineage: Eukaryota; Fungi; Ascomycota; Schizosaccharomycetes; Schizosaccharomycetales; Schizosaccharomycetaceae
Source: the annotation of a GenBank genome assembly
AACGGUACAGUUUAAAUAUGUACCUAAUCGAAUUGUAAACAUAUACUUCAAGUACCUAGUACUUGGGAAUUGCAUUUCUUCAAACUUAACCUUUAUGACCAGCGGAUAUUAUUUCAUUUGGCUAUAGAAUAUCUUAUGCAGAUAGCAUUUUUUCAAAUCGAAAUUGUUUUAUAGUGAGAUGUCGCUUUGCAAUACUUGACGAUCAAAAAAUACAGCUAUAAAAUACUAUUCGUUCACUGCAUGUGGUUUUUGGAUUGUCUAAUUGAUUUAGCAUAAUGAGGA